UACGUAGGGGGCGAGCGUUGUCCGGAAUCACUGGGCGUAAAGGGCGCGUAGGUGGCGACCCAAGUCGAUGGUGAAAGCUCGCCGCUCAACGGCGAGUCGGCCACCGAUACUGGGUUGCUCGAGCACUGUAGAGGCAGGCGGAAUUCCGGGUGUAGCGGUGGAAUGCGUAGAGAUCCGGAAGAACACCGGUGGCGAAGGCGGCCUGCUGGGCAGUUUAGCUGACACUGAGGCGCGACAGCGUGGGGAGCAAACAGG
This 255-nucleotide ribosomal RNA is filed under the name uncultured bacterium. RNAcentral's name for it is "partial 16S ribosomal RNA". It matches the Rfam family "Bacterial small subunit ribosomal RNA", at positions 524 to 776 of the family's 1533-position model. The record is from RNAcentral.